ACACUUUGAUGCAGAUUUUAAUGCGUACAAAAUUAAGGUUCACAAAUGUAUAAAAACAGUAUGAAUACUCAUAUAUGAGAAGAAUAUAAACAGUUUUGUGAAGCAUAAUCUUUAAUGAGACACAGCUUUAAACCCAGACUGCUUAUAAUUGAACUGAAUAAAAUAAUUUAAAGCAGCAACAGAAUACACUCAUACUCAUGGAAUAGUUUUAUAAAUAAAUAAUACACAUAGUUUCACCAUUUUAAUUCACACAAGAAAAAACAUCUAUAUAGGUAAUGAUUUUUUUUUUAAUCAAAAUUUUUCAACAUAAAAAUAUAUUGUUGCCUUUAAGUGGCAUUCAUAAGCGUGAGCACUACCAUUGGCCACACAUUUUUAAAGCUCCUAUGGAUUUAACAUAGGUAUUCUCUAUGGAAAAAAAAAUUGAGAC
Biomphalaria pfeifferi is the source of this 427-nucleotide non-coding RNA. The record is from the annotation of a GenBank genome assembly. Lineage: Eukaryota; Metazoa; Mollusca; Gastropoda; Planorbidae.